RNAcentral lists this ribosomal RNA (587 nucleotides) under uncultured bacterium. Its description in RNAcentral is "partial 16S ribosomal RNA". It matches the Rfam family "Bacterial small subunit ribosomal RNA", at positions 338 to 918 of the family's 1533-position model. The record is from RNAcentral.
CCUACGGGAGGCAGCAGUGGGRAAUAUUGGACAAUGGGCGCAAGCYUGAUCCAGCCAUGCSGCGUGUGUGAAGAAGGCYUUAGGGUUGUAAAGCACUUUCAGGAGUGAGGAAGGGCAUUUGGUUAAUACCCAAAUGUUUUGACGUUAGCUCCAGAAGAAGCACCGGCUAACUCUGUGCCAGCAGCCGCGGUAAUACAGAGGGUGCAAGCGUUAAUCGGAAUUACUGGGCGUAAAGCGCGCGUAGGUGGUUUGUUAAGUCGGAUGUGAAAGCCCAGGGCUCAACCUUGGAAUGGCACCCGAUACUGGCAGGCUARAGUAUGGUAGAGGGGUGUGGAAUUUCCUGUGUAGCGGUGAAAUGCGUAGAUAUAGGAAGGAACAUCAGKGGCGAAGGCGACACCCUGGACUAAUACUGACACUGAGGUGCGAAAGCGUGGGGAGCAAACARGAUUAGAUACCCUGGUAGUCCACGCCGUAAACGAUGUCUACUAGCCGUUGGGUUGUAAUGACUUARUGGGCGCAGCUAACGCAAUAAGUARACCSCCUGGGGAGUMCGSCCSCAAGGUUAAAACUCAAAGGAAUUGACGGGG